AGGUAAUGGCUCACCAAGGCGACGACGGGUAGCCGGCCUGAGAGGGUGACCGGCCACACUGGGACUGAGACACGGCCCAGACUCCUACGGGAGGCAGCAGUGGGGAAUAUUGCACAAUGGGCGAAAGCCUGAUGCAGCGACGCCGCGUGAGGGAUGACGGCCUUCGGGUUGUAAACCUCUUUCAGUAGGGAACAAGGCCACAUUUUGUGUGGUUGAGGGUACUUGCAGAAGAAGCGCCGGCUAACUACGUGCCAGCAGCCGCGGUAAUACGUAGGGCGCAAGCGUUAUCCGGAAUUAUUGGGCGUAAAGAGCUCGUAGGCGGUUUGUCGCGUCUGCCGUGAAAGUCCGGGGCUCAACCCCGGAUCUGCGGUGGGUACGGGCAGACUAGAGUGAUGUAGGGGAGACUGGAAUUCCUGGUGUAGCGGUGAAAUGCGCAGAUAUCAGGAGGAACACCGAUGGCGAAGGCAGGUCUCUGGGCAUUAACUGACGCUGAGGAGCGAAAGCAUGGGGAGCGAACAGGAUUAGAUACCCUGGUAGUCCAUGCCGUAAACGUUGGGCACUAGGUGUGGGGGACAUUCCACGUUUUCCGCGCCGUAGCUAACGCAUUAAGUGCCCCGCCUG
This 621-nucleotide ribosomal RNA is filed under the name Arthrobacter sp. RNAcentral describes it as "bacterial SSU rRNA". It matches the Rfam family "Bacterial small subunit ribosomal RNA", at positions 255 to 875 of the family's 1533-position model. Lineage: Bacteria; Bacillati; Actinomycetota; Actinomycetes; Micrococcales; Micrococcaceae. The record is from RNAcentral.